This is a long non-coding RNA of Leopardus geoffroyi (Geoffroy's cat), 1023 nucleotides long. RefSeq lists it as uncharacterized. NCBI's taxonomy places the organism in Eukaryota, Metazoa, Chordata, Mammalia, Carnivora, Felidae. The transcript is spliced from 3 exons. The record is from RefSeq and is a predicted model, not a curated record.
AGCGCGUGACGCGGCUCAGUCUCAACUUGUCCCAGGACUGCUGGGCCUUGCUUCUGUGCGCUCCGGACAUCGCUGAGGAGGGGGUCCUGUUCUGAGGAAUCAAGGAUACACAAACACUGAUAUAUUCCCUGUAAUGGAGGAGCUUACAUCCAAUGAAGUAGUAGAGUUUUUUGUAGAGCUCUUUGAAAUUCCCAUGGCUUACCUACUGAAUCUUCUUUGGAAUCUUCAAAUUCCCCAAAUCUUUAGAGACUUGGUGGUCACUCACUGGCCAGAGGCAUUGUAAAAGGAUUCUGGAGAUUUCAACUUUUCAGCAAAAGCCCUCCCGAAUCUUUAGUCUGAUUCUGGGAUCCCCAAGGAGACUGGGAACCUUUCUCUGGAUCUUUCCUGUGAAAGGACCAUAUGCUCCGUCCUCUGAUGCAACACAAAUAGCUACUGUGAAGCUCAGUGGUGAGUUUCAAUGAGUUUAUUCCACUAUCUGUGGCCCAGGUAGGCUUGGACUUACAGGUAUGUUUGUGUUAUGUUUCAUAUUCAAAUGCACAGUUCCAGCAGUAUACUUUAUAAAUUGUACUCUUUGUCUUCCUUGUAAUCUGUCAAGCACCAAGUAUAGUGUCAUCUCUGUGUGGAUGCUCUACAAAUGCUAAUUGGUAGUGAUCAGGAUAAUGAUGUUGACAAAUGACUCCAUGAAACUGAUGAAUCAUUUGGUGGAAGAGGCCUGGCACAGCAGUUAUGUGAUGUUGCUUCACCGAACAGGUAAUGUUUCAUACCUCAGAGCAACACAAAACAUUUUGCCUGCCAGUGUUAACUAUUUCUAAUCAGAGCCAAAAAGGCAUUUUGGGAGAGAGAAGAACUUUUGAAUGACAUUGACCCUGUAAGCAGACCCUUAAAGAGAUACCGCUGUUUCCUUUGGUGCAGGCUCGACCAAAACCUGGCUCCCGCGUGAGUUGGCAAUCAAACAAAAAGAUGAAGCAAGAAGUUUGAAUCAGCUAAUAAAAAUAAAUAAACUAAUUCAUAUGAGUAUUAGCA